AAGAAGAGGCUAGCUAUCACAUGGUCUGAGGGAGAUUCUGAAAGUGAAUCUGAAGGAGAAUCUGCUAAAGAUGUCACUGCACUAACAAGUGUUUGUGCCACUGAUGAUGACUCAAGUGCAGAUGAACUGACCUUUGAUGAACUUGUUACAGCUUAUAAGAAGCUAUGUGUCACUAAUGCAGAAGUGCGUGUACAAGGUGAAAAGCAGAAGAAACU
This 215-nucleotide long non-coding RNA is filed under the name Lathyrus oleraceus (garden pea). RNAcentral's name for it is "Pisum sativum (pea) long non-coding RNA (PSAT_LNC034113)". Lineage: Eukaryota; Viridiplantae; Streptophyta; Magnoliopsida; Fabales; Fabaceae. The record is from RNAcentral.